ACCGUGAGGGAAAGGCGAAAAGAACCCCGGCGAGGGGAGUGAAAAAGAACCUGAAACCGUGUACGUACAAGCAGUGGGAGCACAGAGCAAUCUGUGUGACUGCGUACCUUUUGUAUAAUGGGUCAGCGACUUAUAUUCUGUAGCAAGGUUAACCGAAUAGGGGAGCCGAAGGGAAACCGAGUCUUAACUGGGCGUUAAGUUGCAGGGUAUAGACCCGAAACCCGGUGAUCUAGCCAUGGGCAGGUUGAAGGUUGGGUAACACUAACUGGAGGACCGAACCGACUAAUGUUGAAAAAUUAGCGGAUGACUUGUGGCUGGGGGUGAAAGGCCAAUCAAACCGGGAGAUAGCUGGUUCUCCCCGAAAGCUAUUUAGGUAGCGCCUCGUGAAUUCAUCUCCGGGGGUAGAGCACUGUUUCGGCAAGGGGGUCAUCCCGACUUACCAACCCGAUGCAAACUGCGAAUACCGGAGAAUGUUAUCACGGGAGACACACGGCGGGUGCUAACGUCCGUCGUGAAGAGGGAAACAACCCAGACCGCCAGCUAAGGUCCCAAAGUCAUGGUUAAGUGGGAAACGAUGUGGGAAGGCCCAGACAGCCAGGAUGUUGGCUUAGAAGCAGCCAUCAUUUAAAGAAAGCGUAAUAGCUCACUGGUCGAGUCGGCCUGCGCGGAAGAUGUAACGGGGCUAAACCAUGCACCGAAGCUGCGGCAGCGACACUAUGUGUUGUUGGGUAGGGGAGCGUUCUGUAAGCCUGUGAAGGUGUACUGUGAGGUAUGCUGGAGGUAUCAGAAGUGCGAAUGCUGACAUAAGUAACGAUAAAGCGGGUGAAAAGCCCGCUCGCCGGAAGACCAAGGGUUCCUGUCCAACGUUAAUCGGGGCAGGGUGAGUCGACCCCUAAGGCGAGGCCGAAAGGCGUAGUCGAUGGGAAACAGGUUAAUAUUCCUGUACUUGGUGUUACUGCGAAGGGGGGACGGAGAAGGCUAUGUUGGCCGGGCGACGGUUGUCCCGGUUUAAGCGUGUAGGCUGGUUUUCCAGGCAAAUCCGGAAAAUCAAGGCUGAGGCGUGAUGACGAGGCACUACGGUGCUGAAGCAACAAAUGCCCUGCUUCCAGGAAAAGCCUCUAAGCAUCAGGUAACAUCAAAUCGUACCCCAAACCGACACAGGUGGUCAGGUAGAGAAUACCAAGGCGCUUGAGAGAACUCGGGUGAAGGAACUAGGCAAAAUGGUGCCGUAACU
This 1234-nucleotide ribosomal RNA is filed under the name Escherichia coli. Its description in RNAcentral is "partial 23S ribosomal RNA". It matches the Rfam family "Bacterial large subunit ribosomal RNA", at positions 500 to 1735 of the family's 2925-position model. The record is from RNAcentral. Lineage: Bacteria; Pseudomonadati; Pseudomonadota; Gammaproteobacteria; Enterobacterales; Enterobacteriaceae.